GGACGAUUAACUCAGCGGGAGAGUGCUACCUUCACACGGUAGAAGUCACAAGUUCAAAUCUUGUAUCGUCCA
This 72-nucleotide transfer RNA is filed under the name Treponema sp. RNAcentral's name for it is "tRNA-Val". It matches the Rfam family "tRNA". Rfam says of the family: Transfer RNA (tRNA) molecules are approximately 80 nucleotides in length. The record is from RNAcentral. Lineage: Bacteria; Pseudomonadati; Spirochaetota; Spirochaetia; Treponematales; Treponemataceae.